This is a non-coding RNA of Parelaphostrongylus tenuis, 70 nucleotides long. NCBI's taxonomy places the organism in Eukaryota, Metazoa, Nematoda, Chromadorea, Rhabditida, Metastrongylidae. The record is from the annotation of a GenBank genome assembly.
GCCUCGGUGAUGUAAUGGUAGCAAGCGCCCUGGUUUACAAGGAACACAGGUUCAAUGCCUGCCUGAGGCU